Molecule: long non-coding RNA, 307 nt
Filed under: Homo sapiens (human)
Lineage: Eukaryota; Metazoa; Chordata; Mammalia; Primates; Hominidae
Description: non-protein coding lnc-NPIPB13-1:1
Source: RNAcentral
AGCCGCCGGACAAGGGGAAAAGAGCUCGGGGGGCGGGUUCGGCACCAUUCAUAUUCUUCCGCUCGGUAGGAGGUGGAGGACACGACCCUCAACCGUUGCUCCUGUAGCUUCCGAGUCCUGGUGGUGUCGGCCAAGUUCGAGGGGAAACCGCUGCUUCAGAGACACAGGCUGGUGAACGCGUGCCUAGCAGAAGAGCUCCCGCACAUCCAUGCCUUUGAACAGAAAACCCUGACCCCAGACCAGUGGGCACGUGAGCGACAGAAAUGAGGGACUGGGAUCUGCACAGCCAUUAAAUUAUAAAUCUGGA